Small nucleolar RNA from Sorex araneus (European shrew), 137 nucleotides. RefSeq annotates it as small nucleolar RNA SNORA72. The record is from RefSeq and is a predicted model, not a curated record. The transcript has a single exon. Lineage: Eukaryota; Metazoa; Chordata; Mammalia; Eulipotyphla; Soricidae.
CUGUGAAUAUUAUCAUCAUUCUGAUGUUGUGAUAAUCAGGGCAGGUGCUAAGCCUUCGCUCUAAUAAGACCAUGCGAGUGUCCCAGACCUAGUUCGUUACCUACCUAGGUCUGCUGUGAGAAAUGCUGGUGAUUAAU